Molecule: transfer RNA, 64 nt
Filed under: Ocypode cordimanus
Lineage: Eukaryota; Metazoa; Arthropoda; Malacostraca; Decapoda; Ocypodidae
Description: tRNA-Phe
Source: RNAcentral
AUUUACAUAAUUUAUAAAGAAUAUUGUGUUGAAGCCACAAAAGAGGUAAAAGGACCUGUAAAUG